Molecule: long non-coding RNA, 260 nt
Filed under: Homo sapiens (human)
Lineage: Eukaryota; Metazoa; Chordata; Mammalia; Primates; Hominidae
Description: non-protein coding lnc-CSKMT-3:1
Source: RNAcentral
GCCGGCUGACCCCCUGGCCUACUCCCGGCCUCCGGCUCCAGGCCCUUCCCGGAUCCCCGCCCCCGGAUUCCCAGGGGACGGGGAAGGGAGCGCCCGCCCCGAUAUCUCCGCCCCCCAGCCCCUAACCCCUCAGGGUUGAGCGGACCAACCCCACCACUUCCGCGAGGGGCAGGGGCGGGGUCACAAAACGGGCCCUCGGCCUAGGGGCGGAGUUUCUCGUAAGGGGCAAGGCCAAGGCAUCUUGUAUUGGGGCUGACAGG